Molecule: ribosomal RNA, 488 nt
Filed under: uncultured bacterium
Lineage: Bacteria
Description: bacterial SSU rRNA
Rfam family: Bacterial small subunit ribosomal RNA
Source: RNAcentral
UUGAACGCUGGCGGCAGGCUUAACACAUGCAAGUCGAGCGGAGAUGAGGUGCUUGCACCUUAUCUUAGCGGCGGACGGGUGAGUAAUGCUUUAGGAAUCUGCCUAUUAGUGGGGGGACAACAUUCCGAAAGGGAUGCUAAUACCGCAUACGUCCUACGGGGAGAAAAGCAGGGGAUCUUCGGACCUUGCGCUAAUAGAUGAGCCUAAGUCGGAUUAGCUAGUUGGUGGGGUAAAGGCCUACCAAGGCGACGAUCUGUAGCGGGUCUGAGAGGAUGAUCCGCCACACUGGGACUGAGACACGGCCCAGACUCCUACGGGAGGCAGCAGUGGGGAAUAUUGGACAAUGGGGGGAACCCUGAUCCAGCCAUGCCGCGUGUGUGAAGAAGGCCUUAUGGUUGUAAAGCACUUUAAGCGAGGAGGAGGCUACUGAGACUAAUACUCUUGGAUAGUGGACGUUACUCGCAGAAUAAGCACCGGCUAACUCUGUG